AUUUGAGUAACAAAUGCCAACCUUAGGAAUCAAUGUGAUAAAAAAAUAUUAGGUGCCAAUUUGAGAAAAGUGCAAAGUUUAGGGGCAAAUCUAUAUAUUAAACCUUGAACAAAUCACUUGUGUUUUUUUUUCUUGUACAGCCCAAUUUUGCCUACUACCCAAACCUCAACCCACCUAAACACUAACCCAACACUCAUGACCCAAACAUCAGCCCAAAUAAAUUAAAACCCUAAUGGCCCAACAAGCCCAAAACCUAAACUAUUUUCAGCAAAAAAAAAAGAAGAACAAAAACCCUAGCCGCCGCUCCCUAUCCCUAGCUUCAGCCACCAACCCUCUGC
This 338-nucleotide long non-coding RNA is filed under the name Gossypium raimondii (Peruvian cotton). Its description in RNAcentral is "long non-coding RNA (GRAI_LNC011124)". Lineage: Eukaryota; Viridiplantae; Streptophyta; Magnoliopsida; Malvales; Malvaceae. The record is from RNAcentral.